GCAGAGUUACAGACAAGUUGGCACAAAUUGGUCCCUCCAGGCAGAAUGUGCUCCUUCACAGUGGUCAUGGAGGCUAACCAGGUGCAAACAUCCAAACUGGAGCAGAAAGCCCUUCUUCCCACUGGAUACCUGGUGCUGGGAGCUGCAGCUGCCAUGUUGAUGGUGGUCUUGGUUUUGGCUGUAGUUGCUGUGAGAAGGUUGAACAGGCAGAAAGUGAAUCUGAAAUUUUAA
Long non-coding RNA from Erpetoichthys calabaricus (reedfish), 231 nucleotides. RefSeq lists it as uncharacterized. The transcript is spliced from 2 exons. NCBI's taxonomy places the organism in Eukaryota, Metazoa, Chordata, Cladistia, Polypteriformes, Polypteridae. The record is from RefSeq and is a predicted model, not a curated record.